RNAcentral lists this ribosomal RNA (781 nucleotides) under uncultured bacterium. RNAcentral's name for it is "bacterial SSU rRNA". It matches the Rfam family "Bacterial small subunit ribosomal RNA", at positions 76 to 856 of the family's 1533-position model. The record is from RNAcentral.
CUAGCAAUAGAAAAGAUGGCGACCGGCGCACGGGUGAGUAACACGUAUCCAACCUGUCUCAUACUCGGGGAUAGCCUUUCGAAAGAAAGAUUAAUACCCGAUAGCAUAGUCCCACCGCAUGAUGGGACUAUUAAAGAAUUUCGGUAUGAGAUGGGGAUGCGUUCCAUUAGAUAGUUGGUGGGGUAACGGCCCACCAAGUCUUCGAUGGAUAGGGGUUCUGAGAGGAAGGUCCCCCACAUUGGAACUGAGACACGGUCCAAACUCCUACGGGAGGCAGCAGUGAGGAAUAUUGGUCAAUGGACGGGAGUCUGAACCAGCCAAGUAGCGUGAAGGAUGAAGGCUCUAUGGGUCGUAAACUUCUUUUAUAUGGGAAUAAAGUUGAGUAUGUAUACUUUUUUGUAUGUACCAUAUGAAUAAGGAUCGGCUAACUCCGUGCCAGCAGCCGCGGUAAUACGGAGGAUCCGAGCGUUGUCCGGAUCUAUUGGGUUUAAAGGGAGCGUAGGUGGAUUGUUAAGUCAGUUGUGAAAGUUUGCGGCUCAACCGUAAAAUUGCAGUUGAAACUGGCAGUCUUGAGUACAGUAGAGGUGGGCGGAAUUCGUGGUGUAGCGGUGAAAUGCUUAGAUAUCACGAAGAACUCCGAUUGCGAAGGCAGCUCACUAGACUGCAACUGACACUGAGGCUCGAAAGUGUGGGUAUCAAACAGGAUUAGAUACCCUGGUAGUCCACACAGUAAACGAUGAAUACUCGCUGUUUGCGAUAUACUGCAAGCGGCCAAGCGAAA